RNAcentral lists this unclassified non-coding RNA (20 nucleotides) under Chlamydomonas reinhardtii. RNAcentral describes it as "small RNA Cre_2812". Lineage: Eukaryota; Viridiplantae; Chlorophyta; Chlorophyceae; Chlamydomonadales; Chlamydomonadaceae. The record is from RNAcentral.
UCUUCCUGAGACAUGUGCGG